AAUAAAUACAGUUUUACACUUGAUCGUUCGUUUUAUUUGAAUUUUUUUUAUGAUUAGUAUUUUUAUUGCUAUUAGAUGAUAAAACAUGAAUAUUACUUUAUGUAUGACUAAAUAUUUUUAUUUUUUUCACAAAUUUUUCAAAUAAGACGGACGGUCAAACGUUGGGCACGGAUAUCCACGGCUGCACUUAUU
This is a non-coding RNA of Oryza nivara, 192 nucleotides long. The record is from Rfam. Lineage: Eukaryota; Viridiplantae; Streptophyta; Magnoliopsida; Poales; Poaceae.